CAGUAGCCGCGGUAAUACGUAGGUGGCAAGUGUUGUCCGGAAUUAUUGGGCGUAAAGGGCUCGCAGGCGGUUUCUUAAGUCUAAUGUGAAAGCCCCCGGCUCAACCGGGGAGGGUCAUUGGAAACUGGGAAACUUGAGUGCAGAAGAGGAGAGUGGAAUUCCACGUGUAGCGGUGAAAUGCGUAGAGAUGUGGAGGAACACCAGUGGCGAAGGCGACUCUCUGGUCUGUAACUGACGCUGAGGAGCGAAAGCGUGGGGAGCGAACAGGAUUAGAUACCCGCGUAGCCCCUGUCUCUUAUAC
Molecule: ribosomal RNA, 301 nt
Filed under: uncultured bacterium
Lineage: Bacteria
Description: partial 16S ribosomal RNA
Rfam family: Bacterial small subunit ribosomal RNA
Source: RNAcentral